RNAcentral lists this ribosomal RNA (492 nucleotides) under uncultured bacterium. RNAcentral describes it as "partial 16S ribosomal RNA". It matches the Rfam family "Bacterial small subunit ribosomal RNA", at positions 29 to 507 of the family's 1533-position model. The record is from RNAcentral.
AGUGAACGCUGGCGGUAGGCCUAACACAUGCAAGUCGAACGGCAGCACAGUAAGAGCUUGCUCUUACGGGUGGCGAGUGGCGGACGGGUGAGGAAUACAUCGGAAUCUACUUUUUCGUGGGGGAUAACGUAGGGAAACUUACGCUAAUACCGCAUACGACCUACGGGUGAAAGCAGUGGAUCUUCGGACCUUGCGCGAUUGAAUGAGCCGAUGUCGGAUUAGCUAGUGGGCGGGGUAAAGGCCCACCAAGGCGACGAUCCGUAGCUGGUCUGAGAGGAUGGUCAGCCACCCUGGAACUGAGACACGGUCCAGACUCCUACGGGAGGCAGCAGUGGGGAAUAUUGGACAAUGGGCGCAAGCCUGAUCCAGCCAUACCGCGUGGGUGAAGAAGGCCUUCGGGUUGUAAAGCCCUUUUGUUGGGAAAGAAAAGCAGCAGGUUAAUACCCCGCUGUUCUGACGGUACCCAAAGAAUAAGCACCGGCUAACUUCGUG